GGUAGACAGAAGUCCAGACUUGAGGCCACAGAACCCUGGAGAGGGGAGGCAUCCCUCAAGCAGGAUGGGGACCUGAGGCUGGGUUUCUUGGUGUCCUCCCAGCUUCCACCAUCCCACAGAAGGUUCGGUGACCUCUGGCGACCAUUGGUGACUCGGAUGACCCCUAGGGCUAUGCAGGAUGCUGGAGUUCACCCCACUGGGCCUCCAUCCCUUUGGGUCCCACACAGGGCCUGGCAUACACACAGGCCACAGGCGUCAGCUUGUCCUGGCCCAUGUCCCCAGUUCCUGCCAGGAGCCUUGAGGCCCCACGAAGGUCAGACCCUGGCCCUUUGCCCAGCUCUGGGUCAGAGCGGAGCAUGCAGGUCCCUGCCUCCUGCAGAGAGAACUCCCUCCAUGGGGCAGAAGCCAGAGCAGCGAACCCUGGAGUGGAAGGCAGGGCGGUGAGCUGGGAACCCUGACCCAGCUGACCUUCGCGGAUUUAGAAAGGGUCUGAAGAGCAGCCAUGAGACUGAAUCCCAGACAGGAAGGAAGUGCGUCUCGGAAACCGAGCCCUCCGGCUGGAGUGCUGCCCAUACCCAGCACCCUUGGGCCUCCCCGGUGAGGGGCCUCGCGCCUCUCGUGACCCUCGGGAGGCUGUAACCCUUCUAACCUCAAGACAGAAGCGUGAACGCCUGCGGCGGCUGUGGUUUAACAGUUAGUGCCAGAGAGAAGUCGCCCACGCGAGCACUGCUGCGACUCACUGUCUGCACGUGCACCACGAGCAUGGGGACCGCAGUCCCUCUGCCACCGCCAGCUCCUCGGCACCCAGCCAAAGCCACCCAGCGCCUGCCACGCUAGGUCAGGCCCCUGCCACCAGCUGUGAGCUCCCCAAGGGCCAACGUGGCUCUGCUCAUUCCUGCGGCCCAGUGACCUGCGAGGGCCCAGCAGCUGGAGGCGGGAAGGUACACGGGAAUGCACUCAUUUUCCUGCAACCCUGACCUGACCACCCAACGUCCUUCACCUGAAAACUGAGCCCACUUCCUGUCCAGGAGGUGCCCCCACCCCUGGCUCCCAUAGCGGGUAGGUGCUGUCCACUGGGGCUCCCCAGGCCCUUGAACUUCUGAUCACACUGCCCUGUCUCCCCUGUCAGUCUAACAAGAUUCUUAAAGCCAAAGUCGCGUCUUUAUGUCCCAUCAUGCCAGUGCGUAGUCAAGGUGGGGGUGC
Molecule: long non-coding RNA, 1203 nt
Organism: Mustela erminea (ermine)
Lineage: Eukaryota; Metazoa; Chordata; Mammalia; Carnivora; Mustelidae
Exons: 3
Source: RefSeq, a predicted model, not a curated record